GAUGAAGAACGCAGCGAAAUGCGAUAAGUAAUGUGAAUUGCAGAAUUCAGUGAAUCAUCGAAUCUUUGAACGCACAUUGCGCCCGCCAGUAUUCUGGCGGGCAUGCCUGUUCGAGCGUCAUUUCAACCAUCAAGCCCCCGGCUUGUGUUGGGGACCUGCGGCUGCCGCAGGCCCUGAAAACCAGUGGCGGGCUCGCUGUCACACCGAGCGUAGUAGAUUUUCAUCUCGCUCAGGGCGUGCUGCGGGUUCCGGCCGUAAAAAGCCUUAUUUACCCAAGGUUGACCUCGGAUCAGGUAGGAAGACCCGCUGAACUUAAGCAUAUCAAUAAGCGAAGGA
RNAcentral lists this unclassified non-coding RNA (336 nucleotides) under soil metagenome. RNAcentral's name for it is "partial contains 5.8S ribosomal RNA, internal transcribed spacer 2, and large subunit ribosomal RNA". The stretch from base 1 to 120 matches the Rfam family "5.8S ribosomal RNA", at positions 35 to 154 of the family's 154-position model. The record is from RNAcentral.